This 254-nucleotide ribosomal RNA is filed under the name uncultured bacterium. Its description in RNAcentral is "partial 16S ribosomal RNA". It matches the Rfam family "Bacterial small subunit ribosomal RNA", at positions 524 to 776 of the family's 1533-position model. The record is from RNAcentral.
UACGUAGGGUGCAAGCGUUUGUCCGGAAUUAUUGGGCGUAAAGAGCGUGUAGGCGGCUCGAUAAGUCUGCUGUGAAAGUCCAGGGCUCAACCCUGGAAGGCCGGUGGAAACUGUCGGGCUAGAGUCCGGAAGAGGCGAGUGGAAUUCCCGGUGUAGCGGUGAAAUGCGCAGAUAUCGGGAGGAACACCAAUGGCGAAGGCAGCUCGCUGGGACGGUACUGACGCUGAGACGCGAAAGCGUGGGGAGCGAACAGG